UGCUGGUCUUUGGCAGCACAUAUAUUAAAUUGGAAUGAUACAGAUAUGAUUAGCAUGGCCUCUGCUCAAGGAGUGCUUUUUUAAGGAGAAAGAGGAGAAGUCUGU
Small nuclear RNA from Mastomys coucha (southern multimammate mouse), 105 nucleotides. NCBI's taxonomy places the organism in Eukaryota, Metazoa, Chordata, Mammalia, Rodentia, Muridae. The record is from RefSeq and is a predicted model, not a curated record.